RNAcentral lists this ribosomal RNA (721 nucleotides) under Candidatus Anderseniibacteriota bacterium. RNAcentral's name for it is "partial 16S ribosomal RNA". It matches the Rfam family "Bacterial small subunit ribosomal RNA", at positions 1 to 260 of the family's 1533-position model. The record is from RNAcentral. Lineage: Bacteria; Candidatus Anderseniibacteriota.
UAUACUAAGAGUUUGAUCCUGGCUCAGGGUGAACGCUGGCGGCGUGGAUAAGGCAUGCAAGUCGAAUGGCCGUGUCUCGAUGGACUCGAUACGCGGAAUUUCAAAUUUCAAAGCUCAAAUGUCAAAUCAAUAACAAAUGUCCAAUGACUAAAUUACAACGAUUAAUUUUUGUCAUUUUGAUUUUGGAUUUGAUUGGUCAUUUGGAUUUUGUCAUUUGGAUUUCUCGUAUCGAGCAUAGCGAGAUGCGGCCAUGGCAAACGGGUUAGUAACACGUAGGUAACCUACCCGAAAGCGGGGGAUAACCCACCGAAAGGUGGAAUAAUACCCCAUGUGCUGGCACAUGAGUUUUGUUCUUGAAUAAAUAUGGAAAUUAGUUCUGAUACGAGAUUGACCUUUUUUACACACUUGGCUGGUUGGUGAGGGGAAAGAUAGGUCUGUGAAAAAGGAAGUAGGUUUAAUGUCUAAUAGCGUCAGACAGAAAACCGACCACACAAAUUGCGAUGUGUGUGCGCUUGUAUCAGAACUCUUAUACACGAGGAGGACAUCGCUGGUGUUGUGGGUUAUCGAGUUUGUCUUUAAAAGCAGACUCCAUCGUGCCAAGAUAACACCACACCCAGCGAUGUCCAUUAUUUAUUAAAAUUUCAAGAAUGAAACUCUUGUGCCAGUAAAGAUUUAUCGCUUUCGGAAGGGCCUGCGGCCUAUCAGCUUGUUGGUGGGGUAA